This is a long non-coding RNA of Meriones unguiculatus (Mongolian gerbil), 3208 nucleotides long. RefSeq lists it as uncharacterized. NCBI's taxonomy places the organism in Eukaryota, Metazoa, Chordata, Mammalia, Rodentia, Muridae. The transcript has 3 exons. The record is from RefSeq and is a predicted model, not a curated record.
UGUCCUUCUCAAUGGGUAUUAUGUCCUAUCAAAGCCAUUGUUCGGCAGAGCCCAGGCCUGACAAUGUCCCAUUGUGGCAGAUGCAAACGAGAGUUCCAGGUCUCUCGCUUCACUUAGAGCCUGCAGAGUUGAGCCAUCCUCCUGUGGACUGCUCUGCGCACACAUCAUGUCUGGGCCACCGGGGCCGCCGCCGCACAUCGCAGAAGCCUUGACCGGCUUUAGGGAGGUUGGAAACCUCUGUCUGUGCUCUGAUUUUGAUUAAAUACAAAGACUGCAGCACUUGUUUACAGAAAGAUGGCACCAGGAAAGCAGACCGUGGAGCUGCCUGCGCAAGCCUCCUGCCUCCCUGCAAAGCCACGUUUGGAGCUACAAGGAUACAGAGCACUGACAGAAGGUGCCGGAGGGUUUGUAUUCUCUGUGAUGGCUUGAAUUCUCCAUAAUUUUAAAAGGAACUUAGAGAUCACCUUCAAUUACUUGCAAGAGGUUGGUUUUGCUUAGCUAAACCAGAAAUGGGUAGUAAUCACUGCAUGGAUUUUAUUUUUAAUGCUUCCUGAAUUUACAUGUCAUCCUUGAGCAAGAGACAUGCUAAUCUCUGUAUCGUCUCAAUUUUAUUAUAUAUGCUGCACAGUGAGCAUCACUGAAUGGAUUUUUGAUUCCUAAGCCUGUGGCUACCAGUUGUAGUUUUUUAUUUCUGGGUCAUAUGAGAUCUUGUACUUGCUCUAUCUGUGGAAGAAUGGUAAGGAGCUCAUCGUAAAUGGUUAUUUAGGAGGCACUGGAUAACAGUCUCACCUGGAAAUCAUCUACUCUCCGUGACUGUCUCUUCCUAGCAGAAGCAGGUGAUGACUUGCACCAGGCUCCUGAACAGCGCCUGUCGACAGUCUCGGCAGAGCAGGAGGUGGCUCUUGGGGCUGCCUGAAUGCUCUGUGUUCUCUGUCUCUUCUUCCUGUCUGGGUUGGAGGAUCUUGAUAGAGAUCACUCUCCUAAUGCCGCACAGUGAGAAUGCUUGCCCGACAGGAGUACCAGGUGUAGAAGGAUGCCUCGAGUCCCUUAAGUCAGUCCCUUUGGAAAGGAGGAAUUACCCUGGCAUCCCACUUCUCCAGCUGCCCUUGGGCUUGCUGGCAAACUAUCCUAUGCACCUCUCCCUCCAACUGUAAAAUGCAGACAGUAUCUGUGGACUAGUUCUCAUUGGGAUUUGUCGAGAAACAGAGACUGGUUAGAGGCAAAGGUGUUUUAUAAGAGGAAGUCCUCUGCUUGUUUGAAUCAUCGAUGGCAAGAUGGAUUGAAUCUGCACACAUGCCACAGGCUUUCAGGAUCUGCUGACAGAACAGAAACAUAUGUACUAUUCCGGACCAAAUGUCACAUGAAACUCUCCUCAAGGCACAACAGACAAAUGUGGAGUCAUGAUCCUUCCCCAUGAUGUCAUCAAAACUGAGAAACAGAGUCUGAAUUGGAUGAUCUCUUCUGUUUCUGGUCUCACAAACUUGGAGCUGUAAAGUGCUGUGUCCUCCCCACACAAGAGCCACAGGAUGGAGUUCUCCUCCCAUCACCACCCACGUCGGUCUUCCCAGUAGGCCAAGGGGCAUUCUGCUAAGCCGCCAGACAGGUGCUCUUCAGAGGAAAGACUAAGCAGAAGACCAUGAAAGAGUGAAAGGGCCAAGACUCCUUGGUGUGGAAAUGACUUCAGAGUGUGCCAAUGAGAGCUAUCCUGAAAAUCUCUGCCUAUUCUUUGCAAAGGAGACAGCCACAAGUGGGGAACCAUGACACAGGAGCUCCCUACACACUACCAGCCAUGAAGACCUGUGUGACAAUAAAAGUCUGCUGUUCCCUUUGCCUGAUUUUCUCUCUGAAGAAUAACCUUCUGGCUGCUCAGCCAACCAUACCAUAGUCUAAAGGAAAACAGGAAUGCAGAUCACAGGGAGGCAAAUGUGAUCUCACUCAGGUCUGGAGAAGACACAGAACUUCACAGCACUGAGUACGAGAAGAAUGAGAGCCCAUUUCAGAGCUUUAGAAUUAUUGCAGAAAGUGAGACAAGAAUCUGUCUUGGUCCCUGUGAGGCUGGCAGUGGCAGCCCUGCAGGUUCCAGGAAGACAGCAGAGAAGGAGCAGGACUCUCCAGCAGUUGGGAGUAGAAUGCCCCUGGAGGACAGUAGAUGUUAUCUAUGGGACUGAGAUAUUGGGCCAAUUUCUAUAGCCCUGAAUUAAUCUCUCCUUACCUGCCAUCAAGCUGUCUUCUAGCCUUGGUCUAGAUUCCCUCCUGAAAAGUCAUUCUCCCGUUAGAAACAAUGACAUGGCCUUUUUCUGUUUCUGGACAGUUUCAUUUGCUAGGAGAACGUAAGUUUCCUUCCCCUAGAAUCUGCUUACUCUGAAUAAGCUCGAAAGCCAAGACGAUAUGAUAAUAACUUGGCAACCUUGGACAUAGAUGCAUUAAAAAAAUGAAGAAAAGGCAACUACCACACCAUGCCAAAUCAGUAUCCCCAGAGGGAGCGCUGCAUUCUACAAGGAGUAAAAUCCAUCACCAGGAAGAGCACUGCAUUCAACACAGAGUAGAACGCACAAUCCAAGCAAGUACUAAUCAUCUCCAUGCCUUUCCAUGCUACCAGCCCUCCAUCUUCUCAUCUUGUGCUAGAGGCUUCAUCAGAAUCCUUUGUAACCAUAGAGGCUGUUAUUUUACUUCCUCAUUUGUUUAUAUGUGAUGUAUUAACAUUUCCUAUGUGCACCAAAACAAAAACCCAAAAAAACAAAACAAAACAAAAAUCUUGCCAAGAGGUGGUGGUGUAUGCCUUUAAUCCCAGCAUUUGGGAGACAAAAGCAGGUCAAUCUCUGUGAGUUCCAGGACAGCCAGGGCUACACAGAAGAAACCCUGUCUCAAAAAACAAAACAAAUAAACAAACAAACAAAAGAAGCCCUAUGUGCAAGAUACUGAAUCAGGUGUUGGAGAAUGAAUAAGAAUGAAAAAUCUCAGGGCUGGAGAGAUGGCUCAGAGGUUAAGAACACUCGCUGUUCUUCUGAAGGUCCUGAGUUCAAUUCCCAGUCAACCACAUGGUGGCUCAUAACCAUCUAUAGUAAGAUCUGGUGUGCAGGCAGAAUGUUGUAUAAGUAAUAAAUAAAUCUUUAAAAAAAUGAAAAAAUCUCUAAGAUCUUUCCAAGGAGGCAGAGUUUAAAAGGGAAUAUAAGGCACAAAUAAAUAAUAUGCAAGAAUUGAUUGGUUA